This 468-nucleotide ribosomal RNA is filed under the name uncultured bacterium. Its description in RNAcentral is "partial 16S ribosomal RNA". It matches the Rfam family "Bacterial small subunit ribosomal RNA", at positions 28 to 507 of the family's 1533-position model. The record is from RNAcentral.
GACGAACGCUGGCGGCGUGCUUAACACAUGCAAGUCGAACGGAAAGGCCCUGCUUUUGUGGGGUGCUCGAGUGGCGAACGGGUGAGUAACACGUGAGUAACCUGCCCUUGACUUUGGGAUAACUUCAGGAAACUGGGGCUAAUACCGGAUAGGAGCUCCUGCUGCAUGGUGGGGGUUGGAAAGUUUCGGCGGUUGGGGAUGGACUCGCGGCUUAUCAGCUUGUUGGUGGGGUAGUGGCUUACCAAGGCUUUGACGGGUAGCCGGCCUGAGAGGGUGACCGGCCACAUUGGGAAUGAGGUACGGGCCAGACUCCUACGGGAGGCAGCAGUGGGGAAUAUUGCACAAUGGGCGGAAGCCUGAUGCAGCAACGCCGCGUGCGGGAUGACGGCCUUCGGGUUGUAAACCGCUUUCGCCUGUGACGAAGCGUGAGUGACGGUAAUGGGUAAAGAAGCACCGGCUAACUACGUG